UACGAAGGGGGCUAGCGUUGCUCGGAAUCACUGGGCGUAAAGGGUGCGUAGGCGGGUUCUUAAGUCAGAGGUGAAAUCCUGGAGCUCAACUCCAGAACUGCCUUUGAUACUGAGAGUCUUGAGUCCGGGAGAGGUGAGUGGAACUGCGAGUGUAGAGGUGAAAUUCGUAGAUAUUCGCAAGAACACCAGUGGCGAAGGCGGCUCACUGGCCCGGUACUGACGCUGGGGUGCGAAAGCGUGGGGAGCAAACAGG
RNAcentral lists this ribosomal RNA (253 nucleotides) under uncultured bacterium. Its description in RNAcentral is "partial 16S ribosomal RNA". It matches the Rfam family "Bacterial small subunit ribosomal RNA", at positions 524 to 776 of the family's 1533-position model. The record is from RNAcentral.